RNAcentral lists this transfer RNA (60 nucleotides) under Dipodomys ordii (Ord's kangaroo rat). It matches the Rfam family "tRNA", at positions 7 to 64 of the family's 71-position model. From Rfam's summary of the family: Transfer RNA (tRNA) molecules are approximately 80 nucleotides in length. Their secondary structure includes four short double-helical elements and three loops (D, anti-codon, and T loops). The record is from Rfam by way of RNAcentral. Lineage: Eukaryota; Metazoa; Chordata; Mammalia; Rodentia; Heteromyidae.
GUGGCUCAGUGAUAGAGCGCAUGCUUUGCAUGCAUGAGGCCCUGGGUUCGAUUCCCCAGC